This 863-nucleotide long non-coding RNA is filed under the name Cricetulus griseus (Chinese hamster). Its description in RNAcentral is "lncRNA (ENSCGRG00015042480.1)". Lineage: Eukaryota; Metazoa; Chordata; Mammalia; Rodentia; Cricetidae. The record is from RNAcentral.
UUACCUCACUCAUAAUGGUUUCUUUUAGUUCCAUCCAUUUGCAUGGGAAUUUCAAGAUUUUUUUCCACUGAGUAGUACACCAUUUUGUUACUACAUUUUUUUUUAUCCAUUCUUCAGUUCAGGUGCAUCCAGUUUACUUCCAGUUUCUGGCUGUUAUAAAUAAUACUGCUAUGUGUAGGGGAAGCUGUAGCCACGCCUUCUUAGGGGCUGGCUACAAGAGUACCUGAGAGCUUGUGAGGGCGUGGUCAGAGUGAGUAGGGGGACUGCGUUUUCGGUUUCGGUUUCUCUUUGCGUCUUGCUGUACAGACUACCACCGGCUGGCUGGUCCGCUCUGUAAGUAAGGCUUUUCCCUAUUAAAUACCCUUAUAUUUCUACCUGACUCCGUACUGGUAAUUUCUUACUAUAUCUGGUGUCAGAAGCGGGAUAUUGGAAACCCACACCCCAUUUGGGACAGGCUGUGGGUUCCAUCGGGCCCGCCGCCUAGGCCGGGAAAGCACCCACUCUCCACAGGCGUUCCCGGCUAGCAGCCGACCCACUGCUAGAGUCCAUCCACCCAGCUCAGAGACAGUUUCUAGCUGCCUAGAGUCCAGAUAAGCGCAGCCGCUUUUGUGACCUCUCUCCACUGCUGACCGACUGCUGCCAAACGCCUCGGAAUAACUGAACGCCUGUGCUACCUGCUGGUCAAAUAUAUUUACUGCAUCUGGAGUAGAAAUCAGGACAAACAGCUGCAGAAAGACACUGGACUACGGAAAAAACUGCUGAACUCAAUCAGCCAGUAUACUUCAAAGAUGUACUAACCUCUGCAUGGAAACCAGGACAUGUAUUACGUUGGGGUAGGGGUUUUGCAUUGGUUUCUACAGGAG